Molecule: non-coding RNA, 130 nt
Organism: Hypoxylon sp. CI-4A
Lineage: Eukaryota; Fungi; Ascomycota; Sordariomycetes; Xylariales; Hypoxylaceae
Source: the annotation of a GenBank genome assembly
GCCCGGUUAGCUCAAUCGGUAGAGUAAGUUCUCACUUGCAUAUAUCUAUAAAACGAUUCCAUCACUAACCAAUUCAACAGGCGUGAGACUCUUAAUCUCAAGGUUGCGGGUUCGACCCCCGCAUCGGGCU